CUGGUCUAGUGGAAGGUGUCCCUGCCUGUGGUGGCAGGGGGAUUGGAACUGGAUGAUCUUUAAGGUCCUUUCCAAACCGAACCAUUCUAUAUGGUUCUGUUUAGCUGUAUGAUCAGGAGGAAAGCAAUGCUGUUAGCGACAGCAGUGACAACGUUGUACAUUUGUAGAUGUUGGGCAUGUGUUAAACCAGUUCCACUACUUACACAGCUGUAUGUCUUCUUUCAUUUGAAACACUGAGAUUUAGAUUAUUCUGUUACUCAUAUUUCUGUAAAAUUCCAGGUUGCCCAGCAUUUUGACCAGUGUCAAGGUUCUCAAACAAAAGGGUGAAUUCAGCUUAGAUUUAUGUACCUGAAACACUCUAUGGAGCUAGAGGGCAGUUCGUUUGCAAGAGACAAAAUUUUGGCCUCAAGACCUUUACCUCAUGAACAUCAGCCAGAAAAGGUUUCAUCAAAGUAAACAGAAUAACAGAAUUAGUUUUCCAUUUAAACCUAGAAUCCUGUCUGGGAUCUCAGCUAGAGACAGGGGACAGAGGUAUCACCCAGAUUUCUGAUCAGCUAAUUACUCUUGUGACAAGUAUUUGUGUAAACCUUCACAGGGCAAUAGCUCACUUAUACUUCAGGGGUCUAUCGAUGAGAACCAAGCUGCAUUUCUUAUUAUUCUUAGGGCUUCUUGCCAUCUGAAAUAAAAUAGUAAUUAGCUUUUUAAUUACUAAUAUACCAAUGGAACCAAAGUGGAUUACUGCAGGUGUUUGAGAAACAGCCAAUUAACUACUACAGCUCUCUGGAUUUACGUAAUCUUGUGUCUUUGCAGUAGCUGCUUAAUGUUGUCAUCGUUGUCAUCACCAUACUAAAGGGGUGGCAUUGUUAAUGGAGCUGAUAUUGUCUACACAUGCUAGCAGAUAAAAAAGGCUGACUGACAGCUGGAGAAUGAUUAUAAAGGCUGUCUGGUUUAAUCCCUCUGCCAUGAACUGCUUGUGGAAUGAGCACAGUUGCAGUUCUGUGGAUGUAUUAAUAAAAAAACGUGGGCACAAUGAUGAA
Molecule: long non-coding RNA, 1037 nt
Filed under: Strigops habroptila (Kakapo)
Lineage: Eukaryota; Metazoa; Chordata; Aves; Psittaciformes; Psittacidae
Description: lncRNA (ENSSHBG00005005626.1)
Source: RNAcentral